UUUUUUUUUUUUUUUUUUUUUUUUUUGAGAUGGAAAGGAGUUUUGUCUUUAAGUGGAAUUGGAGAAUGAAAUUUUGUUAAUACUAAAACUUUUGUUUUUAUUAGAUUAAUGGAAAGUGGAGUGGUCAGAGUGCUGGAGGAUGUGGAAAUUUCCAAGAGACUCACAAAAAUAACCCCAUCUACCAAUUCCAUAUAGAAAAGACUGGGCCGUUACUGAUUGAGCUACGAGGACCAAGGCAAUAUAGCGUUGGAUUUGAGGUUGUAACAGUUUCUACUCUAGGAGAUCCUGGUCCCCAUGGCUUUCUGAGGAAAUCUAGUGGUGACUAUAGGUGUGGGUUUUGCUACCUGGAAUUAGAAAAUAUACCUUCUGGGAUCUUCAAUAUCAUUCCUAGUACCUUUUUGCCUAAACAAGAAGGACCUUUUUUCUUGGACUUUAAUAGUAUUAUCCCCAUCAAGAUCACACAACUUCAGUGAUGGAGAAAUCUCAAGUUACUGGCUUUUAUACUUACCAAACAU
This 515-nucleotide small RNA is filed under the name Pan troglodytes (chimpanzee). RNAcentral's name for it is "retained intron". The record is from RNAcentral. Lineage: Eukaryota; Metazoa; Chordata; Mammalia; Primates; Hominidae.